Molecule: ribosomal RNA, 497 nt
Filed under: uncultured bacterium
Lineage: Bacteria
Description: partial 16S ribosomal RNA
Rfam family: Bacterial small subunit ribosomal RNA
Source: RNAcentral
GGUGAACGCUGGCGGCGUGCCUAAUACAUGCAAGUCGAGCGAACGGACGAGAAGCUUGCUUCUCUGAUGUUAGCGGCGGACGGGUGAGUAACACGUGGAUAACCUACCUAUAAGACUGGGAUAACUUCGGGAAACCGGAGCUAAUACCGGAUAAUAUUUUGAACCGCAUGGUUCAAAAGUGAAAGACGGUCUUGCUGUCACUUAUAGAUGGAUCCGCGCUGCAUUAGCUAGUUGGUAAGGUAACGGCUUACCAAGGCAACGAUGCAUAGCCGACCUGAGAGGGUGAUCGGCAACACUGGAACUGAGACACGGUCCAGACUCCUACGGGAGGCAGCAGUAGGGAAUCUUCCGCAAUGGGCGAAAGCCUGACGGAGCAACGCCGCGUGAGUGAUGAAGGUCUUCGGAUCGUAAAACUCUGUUAUUAGGGAAGAACAUAUGUGUAAGUAACUGUGCACAUCUUGACGGUACCUAAUCAGAAAGCCACGGCUAACUACGUG